RNAcentral lists this ribosomal RNA (486 nucleotides) under uncultured bacterium. RNAcentral describes it as "partial 16S ribosomal RNA". It matches the Rfam family "Bacterial small subunit ribosomal RNA", at positions 28 to 507 of the family's 1533-position model. The record is from RNAcentral.
GAUGAACGCUGGCGGCGUGCCUAAUACAUGCAAGUCGAACGCUGGAGAUCUAGCUUGCUAGUUCGAAGGAGUGGCGAACGGGUGAGUAAUACAUAAGCAACCUACCCACGAAGACUGGGAUAAUCUCUGGAAACGGGGACUAAUACCGGAUAGGUAAUCGGAAGGCAUCUUCUGGUUAUUAAAGGUUAAAAACACUGGUGGAUGGGCUUAUGGCGCAUUAGUUAGUUGGUGAGGUAACGGCCCACCAAGACGAUGAUGCGUAGCCGGCCUGAGAGGGUGAACGGCCACAUUGGGACUGAGACACGGCCCAGACUCCUACGGGAGGCAGCAGUAGGGAAUUUUCGGCAAUGGGGGCAACCCUGACCGAGCAACGCCGCGUGAGUGAAGACGGCCUUCGGGUUGUAAAGCUCUGUUGUAAGGGAAGAACGGUAGAUAGAGAAUAUCUAAGUGACGGUACCUUACCAGAAAGCCACGGCUAACUACGUG